AUGCUAAUGAGCUCGACUCGAGGCAGGGUUUGUUGUUCUAAAAAAAAAUAAGAAAAAAGAAAAACAUACGUUACUAUUUAACGAGCAGGCAGCAAUCAAAGCAGGCAAACUACUACCAACUAGUGAUGGGAAAAAUAAAGUUUUCGUCGGAAUCGAUUCCGGCUAGCUUUGAA
Long non-coding RNA from Anopheles coluzzii, 173 nucleotides. RefSeq lists it as uncharacterized. NCBI's taxonomy places the organism in Eukaryota, Metazoa, Arthropoda, Insecta, Diptera, Culicidae. The record is from RefSeq and is a predicted model, not a curated record. The transcript is spliced from 2 exons.